RNAcentral lists this transfer RNA (70 nucleotides) under Aulopus filamentosus (royal flagfin). Its description in RNAcentral is "tRNA-Pro". It matches the Rfam family "tRNA". Rfam says of the family: Transfer RNA (tRNA) molecules are approximately 80 nucleotides in length. Their secondary structure includes four short double-helical elements and three loops (D, anti-codon, and T loops). Further hydrogen bonds mediate the characteristic L-shaped molecular structure. tRNAs have two regions of fundamental functional importance: the anti-codon, which is responsible for specific mRNA codon recognition, and the 3' end, to which the tRNAs corresponding amino acid is attached (by aminoacyl-tRNA synthetases). tRNAs cope with the degeneracy of the genetic code in two manners: having more than one tRNA (with a specific anti-codon) for a particular amino acid; and 'wobble' base-pairing, i.e. permitting non-standard base-pairing at the 3rd anti-codon position. The record is from RNAcentral. Lineage: Eukaryota; Metazoa; Chordata; Actinopteri; Aulopiformes; Aulopidae. RNAcentral also lists the same sequence under 1 other name.
CAAAGGGUAGUUAAAUUUAGAAUUUCGGCUUUGGGAGCCGAGGGUGAGAGUUAAAAUCUCUUCUCUUUGA